GAUGAACGCUGGCGGCGUGCCUAACACAUGCAAGUCGAGCGAUUCUCUUCGGAGAAGAGCGGCGGACGGGUGAGUAACGCGUGGGUAACCUGCCCUGUACACACGGAUAACAUACCGAAAGGUAUGCUAAUACGGGAUAACAUGUUUUGAUCGCAUGGUCGAAAUAUCAAAGCUCCGGCGGUACAGGAUGGACCCGCGUCUGAUUAGCUAGUUGGUAAGGUAAUGGCUUACCAAGGCGACGAUCAGUAGCCGACCUGAGAGGGUGAUCGGCCACAUUGGAACUGAGACACGGUCCAAACUCCUACGGAGGCAGCAGUGGGGAAUAUUGCACAAUGGGCGAAAGCCUGAUGCAGCAACGCCGCGUGAGCGAUGAAGGCCUUCGGGUCGUAAAGCUCUGUCCUUCAAGGAAGAUAAUGACGGUACUUGAGGAGGAAGCCCCGGCUAACUACGUG
This 452-nucleotide ribosomal RNA is filed under the name uncultured bacterium. RNAcentral's name for it is "bacterial SSU rRNA". It matches the Rfam family "Bacterial small subunit ribosomal RNA", at positions 28 to 507 of the family's 1533-position model. The record is from RNAcentral.